This 779-nucleotide ribosomal RNA is filed under the name uncultured eukaryote. RNAcentral's name for it is "SSU rRNA". It matches the Rfam family "Eukaryotic small subunit ribosomal RNA", at positions 1033 to 1827 of the family's 1831-position model. The record is from RNAcentral.
UAAACGAUGCCACCAGCGAUCCGCCUGAGUUCCUUAAAUGACUCGGCGGGCAGCUUCCGGGAAACCAAAGUUUUUCGGUUCCGGGGGAAGUAUGGUUGCAAAGCUGAAACUUAAAGGAAUUGACGGAAGGGCACCACCAGGAGUGGAGCCUGCGGCUUAAUUUGACUCAACACGGGAAAACUUACCCGGCCCGGACACUGGCAGGAUUGACAGAUUGAGAGCUCUUUCUUGAUUCAGUGGGUGGUGGUGCAUGGCCGUUCUUAGUUGGUGGAGCGAUUUGUCUGGUUAAUUCCGAUAACGAACGAGACUCUAGCCUACUAAAUAGGCCACCGGCUUACUGACGUCGGUGGGACUUCUUAGAGGGACAGGCGGCGAUUCAGCCGCACGAAACAGAGCAAUAACAGGUCUGUGAUGCCCUUAGAUGUCCGGGGCCGCACGCGCGCUACACUGAAGUGAUCAGCGUGCAUUACAAACCUGCUCCGUCAGGAGUGGGGAACCCAAUGAACCUUCUUCGUGAUUGGGAUAGGGGAUUGUAAUUAUUCCCCUUGAACGAGGAAUUCCCAGUAAGCGCGAGUCAUAAGCUCGCGUUGAUUACGUCCCUGCCCUUUGUACACACCGCCCGUCGCUACUACCGAUUGAAUGAUUUAGUGAGGUCUUCGGACUGGCCGGCGCAGCUGUCUUCGGGCGGCCGCGCUGUGUUUGGAAAGAUGCCCAAACUUGAUCAUUUAGAGGAAGUAAAAGUCGUAACAAGGUUUCCGUAGUGAACCUGCGGAAGGAUC